This is a non-coding RNA of Phrynosoma platyrhinos (Desert horned lizard), 72 nucleotides long. Lineage: Eukaryota; Metazoa; Chordata; Lepidosauria; Squamata; Phrynosomatidae. The record is from the annotation of a GenBank genome assembly.
GCCAGCAUGGUGUAAUGGUCUGAGAGCUGGACUAUGAUUCUUGAGACCAGGGUUCAAAUCCCUGCUCAGCCA